UAAUAAUACAGAAAAGAUUACAAUGGCCUUGUGCAAGGAUGACAUGUAAAUUUGUGAGGCAUUAUGUAUUUUA
Molecule: small nuclear RNA, 73 nt
Filed under: Octodon degus (degu)
Lineage: Eukaryota; Metazoa; Chordata; Mammalia; Rodentia; Octodontidae
Source: RNAcentral